AUUGAACGCUGGCGGCAUGCCUUACACAUGCAAGUCGAACGGCAGCACGGGGCAACCUGGUGGCGAGUGGCGAACGGGUGAGUAAUGCAUCGGAACGUGCCAUUGAGUGGGGGAUAACGUAGCGAAAGUUGCGCUAAUACCGCAUAUUCUGUGAGCAGGAAAGCAGGGGACCGCAAGGCCUUGAGCUCUUUGAGCGGCCGAUGUCAGAUUAGCUAGUUGGUGAGGUAACGGCUUACCAAGGCGACGAUCUGUAGCGGGUCUGAGAGGAUGAUCCGCCACACUGGAACUGAGACACGGUCCAGACUCCUACGGGAGGCAGCAGUGGGGAAUUUUGGACAAUGGGCGCAAGCCUGAUCCAGCCAUGCCGCGUGAGUGAAGAAGGCCUCGGUGUAAG
Molecule: ribosomal RNA, 394 nt
Filed under: uncultured bacterium
Lineage: Bacteria
Description: bacterial SSU rRNA
Rfam family: Bacterial small subunit ribosomal RNA
Source: RNAcentral